AAGAGGAGGAACCAUUAUGACGAAGGCAUACUUUAGCAUGGUUCCGACGCAAUGCCGCCGAACGAAUGUGAGGGGGCGAUACCAAUA
RNAcentral lists this small RNA (87 nucleotides) under unclassified sequences. RNAcentral's name for it is "GA-cis RNA". It matches the Rfam family "GA-cis RNA". The record is from Rfam by way of RNAcentral.